Molecule: ribosomal RNA, 446 nt
Filed under: uncultured bacterium
Lineage: Bacteria
Description: partial 16S ribosomal RNA
Rfam family: Bacterial small subunit ribosomal RNA
Source: RNAcentral
CCUACGGGAGGCAGCAGUCGAGAAUCAUUCACAAUGGGGGAAACCCUGAUGGUGCGACGCCGCGUGGGGGAAUGAAGGUCUUCGGAUUGUAAACCCCUGUCAUGUGGGAGCAAAUUAAAAAGAUAGUACCACAAGAGGAAGAGACGGCUAACUCUGUGCCAGCAGCUGCGGUAAUACAGAGGUCUCAAGCGUUGUUCGGAAUCACUGGGCGUAAAGGGUGCGUAGGCUGUUUCGUAAGUCGUGUGUGAAAGGCGCGGGCUCAACCCGCGGACGGCACAUGAUACUGCGAGACUAGAGUAAUGGAGGGGGAACCGGAAUUCUCGGUGUAGCAGUGAAAUGCGUAGAUAUCGAGAGGAACACUCGUGGCGAAGGCGGGUUCCUGGACAUUAACUGACGCUGAGGCACGAAGGCCAGGGGAGCGAAAGGGAUUAGAUACCCGAGUAGUC